Long non-coding RNA from Coccinella septempunctata (seven-spotted ladybird), 771 nucleotides. RefSeq lists it as uncharacterized. Lineage: Eukaryota; Metazoa; Arthropoda; Insecta; Coleoptera; Coccinellidae. The transcript has 2 exons. The record is from RefSeq and is a predicted model, not a curated record.
GUUGGUGGCAAAAGUCUAAAAAACAUAAGUUAUAAGGAGUAGCAGUAGACUUGAAUUCCCGUAUUGAUCAGAAUCGAGACUCGAUUCUUGAUUGAAGUGUAGUGAGUGUAGUGUUUCCUGGGACUUCGCUGUCAGCAUUUAUGGAAUGACGGAAAGGUCUUAGAGCACAGUCUUGUCCUUUGUGGACAGGGCUGCUAAGGGAUCUCCUGGAAGUCAUUCCCAACUUUAGCCAUCGAUGGACCAGGAGCGUAAAAGCAAAAUGUAAAGGUUCAAAGUGAGUCGUUUCGAUUUAUCAGCUGGCACUGAUGAUAAUCGUGAUGAAUUCCGUGGGAAACGCAAAAGUUUGUGAAGUAACUUAUGUCGAUAGAAUUUUGGAGGGUUAGUUUGCGACGUGGGUCAUUAUUUUCGGGGUGAUUCCUGGGGAAAUUUUUUCUAAAUUCCUUCAAGUACAAAUUUUCUUCAUUCACGACACUAGGUAUCUUCUCAUCUUUUCGAUAUACUUCUGAUAGUCCUUCAGUAGCGGUCCAAUUAUUUAAAUCGAAGUACAAUAUUUUGUGGAGUAACUUUAUGUCGAUAGAAUUCUGGAGGAUUUGUUUGCGAAGUGGGUCAUUAUUUUCGGGAAAAUUCCUGGGGAAAUUCCUUCGAAAUGACCAUGUCAUCUUUGAAGAAUUUUCUUGUAGUGCUUUCCUCAGAAUGAAUGAACCUUCAAGAACACAUUUUCUAUAUUCACGACACUAAGUAUCUUCUCAUCUUAUCGAUAUACUUCUGAUA